Molecule: ribosomal RNA, 461 nt
Filed under: uncultured bacterium
Lineage: Bacteria
Description: partial 16S ribosomal RNA
Rfam family: Bacterial small subunit ribosomal RNA
Source: RNAcentral
CCUACGGGAGGCAGCAGUGAGGAAUAUUGGUCAAUGGGCGAGAGCCUGAACCAGCCAAGUCGCGUGAAGGAUGACGGCCCUACGGGUUGUAAACUUCUUUUGUCAGGGAGCAAUUGAGUCCACGUGUGGUCUUAGCGAGAGUACCUGAAGAAAAAGCAUCGGCUAACUCCGUGCCAGCAGCCGCGGUAAUACGGAGGAUCCGAGCGUUAUCCGGAUUUAUUGGGUUUAAAGGGAGCGUAGAUGGGUUGUUAAGUCAGUUGUGAAAGUUUGCGGCUCAACCGUAAAAUUGCAAUUGAUACUGGCAGCCUUGAGUACAGUUGAGGUAGGCGGAAUUCGUGGUGUAGCGGGGAAAUGCUUAGAUAUCACGAAGAACUCCGAUUGCGAAGGCAGCUUACUAAACUGCCACUGACAUUGAUGCUCGAAAGUGUGGGUAUCAAACAGGAUUAGAUACCCUUGUAGUC